Molecule: ribosomal RNA, 467 nt
Filed under: uncultured bacterium
Lineage: Bacteria
Description: partial 16S ribosomal RNA
Rfam family: Bacterial small subunit ribosomal RNA
Source: RNAcentral
GAUGAACGCUGGCGGCGUGCUUAACACAUGCAAGUCGAACGGAAAGGCCAGUGCUUGCACUGGUGCUCGAGUGGCGAACGGGUGAGUAACACGUGGGUGAUCUGCCCUGCACUUUGGGAUAAGCCUGGGAAACUGGGUCUAAUACCAGAUAGGACCAUGCUUUGGAUGGUGUGGUGGAAAGUUUUUUCGGUGUGGGAUGAGCUUGCGGCCUAUCAGCUUGUUGGUGGGGUAAUGGCCUACCAAGGCGUCGACGGGUAGCCGGCCUGAGAGGGUGUACGGCCACAUUGGGACUGAGAUACGGCCCAGACUCCUACGGGAGGCAGCGGUGGGGAAUAUUGCACAAUGGGCGCAAGCCUGAUGCAGCGACGCCGCGUGGGGGAUGACGGCCUUCGGGUUGUAAACUCCUUUCGCAACUGACGAAGCUUUUUGUGACGGUAGGUUGAGAAGAAGCACCGGCUAACUACGUG